Long non-coding RNA from Numida meleagris (helmeted guineafowl), 681 nucleotides. RefSeq lists it as uncharacterized. The record is from RefSeq and is a predicted model, not a curated record. The transcript is spliced from 3 exons. NCBI's taxonomy places the organism in Eukaryota, Metazoa, Chordata, Aves, Galliformes, Numididae.
UUGAAGACCUAAUUCCCUUUCUCAUUUCACCAAUGAACUCAUUAUCUAAUUUUAGAAGCAAAAUUCAUAAAACAUCCCAAGUUGGAAGGAACCCACAAGGAUAACUGAGUACAAACCUCAGCUCCACAAAGGACCCCCCAAACCCAAACCCUGAGUCUGAGAAUGUUGUCCAAACACAAUUUGAGCUCUGGCAGCUUAGGGCUGUGCCCACUACCCUGGGCAGCCUGCUCCAUGUCCACUGCCCUGUGGUGACGAACCUUUUCCUAACACACCCCUGACCAUUCCCUGACACAGUUCCCUGCUGCUUCCUUGUGUCCUGUUGCUGUCACCAGAAAGCAGAGCUCAGUGCUGCCCCUUUACUCCCUGUGAGGAGCUGUAGGCUGCCAUGAGGCCUCCCCUAGGCCUGCUCUGGGACUCCUGUGUACCCUCCCACUCUUUGCAGUGUGGAACAUCUUUGUCCUGUGGCGUGAAGUCUGGCCUGGACCUCAUGGCAGGGAAAGACCCAGGGAACGUGGCAGCCCACGGCAGAGAAUUCUGUAUUGACCAUAACAUAAAAUCCAGAGAUACGACCUUGUCUGCAGAUUCAUCUGAGAAUGAAUAAGGAGCAGCAGCCCGUAACACAUGAGUAGACGUGGUACGAUGACACAUUUUGGAAGGAUAUUUAUGCAGAGUCCUCUUCCA